GACGAACGCUGGCGGCGUGCCUAAUACAUGCAAGUAGAACGCUGAAGAGAGGAGCUUGCUCUUCUUGGAUGAGUUGCGAACGGGUGAGUAACGCGUAGGUAACCUGCCUUGUAGCGGGGGAUAGCUAUUGGAAACGAUAGCUAAUACCGCAUAACAAUGGAUGACCCAUGUCAUUUAUUUGAAAGGGGCAAAUGCUCCACUACAAGAUGGACCUGCGUUGUAUUAGCUAGUAGGUGAGGUAACGGCUCACCUAGGCGACGAUACAUAGCCGACCUGAGAGGGUGAUCGGCCACACUGGGACUGAGACACGGCCCAGACUCCUACGGGAGGCAGCAGUAGGGAAUCUUCGGCAAUGGGGGCAACCCUGACCGAGCAACGCCGCGUGAGUGAAGAAGGUUUUCGGAUCGUAAAGCUCUGUUGUAAGUCAAGAACGAGUGUGAGAGUGGAAAGUUCACACUGUGACGGUAGCUUACCAGAAAGGGACGGCUAACUACGUG
This 497-nucleotide ribosomal RNA is filed under the name uncultured bacterium. RNAcentral's name for it is "partial 16S ribosomal RNA". It matches the Rfam family "Bacterial small subunit ribosomal RNA", at positions 28 to 507 of the family's 1533-position model. The record is from RNAcentral.